UGCUCGCGUAUGUGGUGAACAUUUUGUUAAAGGUGCGUAGACGAACUUUGUAAUUCAAUAUUAAAAGCAAUUGGGAAAGAGUUUGAACUGAAGCGCCUUGCAAAAUGUCUAUUGAUUCUAUGAAUAUAAUUGUUUACAUUCAUAAUUUUCUUGUUUCCAAGGUCGUCCAAGCAAUGUCUACGACGAACACGACGUUGAUUGGGCUCCUACACUUAAAUUGGGUCACCAGAAAUUAAAACCUAUUCGUGAAAGUGCCAUUAAAAGAAACGAUCGGACCAAAAAGCGAGACCUUAAACGACGCCAUUCCGAAGCAGCCGUUGCCCUCCUUGAUUUACUAAAGCUGGCUCGACUGGACUCUAACGUCCAUCAAGAACAUGAACACCCAGGAGAAAAUAACUUAUAUUUACAAUAAGAGUCAAAUAUCAACCAUGCUGAAUGCCAGACUGAAAGAUAGGUUCAACAUGUAGAGUGCCAAACAGACCUAACAGUCAACUAUUUAAAGUCAAUGGAAGAAGACAUAAAGAGAUGCAAUGAGGAACUAUGCACACUUAAAGAGAAAGCCCUUGAAGCACUAAUAGCUUUGAAAAGGAUAAUGACAAGACCUAGUUUUACACUGGGCUGCCAAACUUCCUGGUACUAUUACAAGUUUUCAACCUUUGUGAACCCUUUAUAACACAUAUGAAGAGAUCUUCUUUGGAAAAUUUCGAGCAAAUACUUUUGGUUCUGAUGAGAUUGAAAUUAAUUCUUCCACUACAGGAUUUACCUUACAGGUUUGGAAUAUCAUGCUCCACGGCAUCAAGAAUUUUCACAAAAUUGUUACCAUCAUGCAUGUGAGUGACAAACAAUUAACUGAAGCUAGUGGUAUUUUGGACAAUUUAUUACCUGGAGAUGUUGUUCUUGCUGAUAGAGGUUUUAACAUUGUGAAGAGUGUUGGGCUUUAUUGUGCUUCAUUGAAAACACCAGCAUUUACAAAAGGGAAAACACAGUUAUCACCAUAUGAAGUGGAAGAGACC
This is a long non-coding RNA of Xenia sp. Carnegie-2017, 1013 nucleotides long. RefSeq lists it as uncharacterized. Lineage: Eukaryota; Metazoa; Cnidaria; Anthozoa; Malacalcyonacea; Xeniidae. The record is from RefSeq and is a predicted model, not a curated record. The transcript has 2 exons.